UGAUAAUAAGUUGGUCUAUGAGGCACAUUGGUAUCCUUGGAGCUGGGACGACCGCAAAACUUGGGAUGUGGAAUUACUGAAUGAAGCUUGUUAUAGAAAAACCCAACACUUUAUCAACCAAACUGGUUUCACCAAUACUUUAGAUCUAGACAAUCCAGUGCCUCUCUUUGUGGGUGAAUUUGGCUUAGAUCAGAGAGGUCUUAGCCGGGCUGAUGACCAUUUUCUUAGCUGCUUUUUGGCCUAUGCUUCUGAAAUUGACUUGGACUGGGGGUUGUGGGGAUUUCAAGGAAGCUAUUAUUUCCGGGAAAAUAAAACUGGCAUGGAGGAAACAUUUG
Molecule: unclassified non-coding RNA, 335 nt
Filed under: Hevea brasiliensis (rubber tree)
Lineage: Eukaryota; Viridiplantae; Streptophyta; Magnoliopsida; Malpighiales; Euphorbiaceae
Source: RNAcentral